AAUACGGGUCUGGAGGUUGGGGACCGUGAACCGGACCGGCACGGCCCGCCAAACCAUAAAGGUUCGGCACGGCACGGCCCGAACCGGGACCGGCCCGCCAAACCGUGAAUCUGUACGCAACUAUGCACUCAGUUUUGAUUUUAUUUAUGUUUUAGUUUUUUGUUUAUAAUUUAGUUAUUUGAUUUCAUUUUAGUUUGUAAGGUUGAG
This 207-nucleotide long non-coding RNA is filed under the name Daucus carota (carrot). RNAcentral's name for it is "long non-coding RNA (DCAR_LNC003908)". The record is from RNAcentral. Lineage: Eukaryota; Viridiplantae; Streptophyta; Magnoliopsida; Apiales; Apiaceae.